GCCCGCGUGGCGGAAUGGUAGACGCAGCGGAUUCAAAAUCCGCCGGCCGAGAGGCCAUGCCGGUUCGAGUCCGGCCGCGGGUACCA
RNAcentral lists this transfer RNA (86 nucleotides) under Palleronia sediminis. Its description in RNAcentral is "Primorskyibacter sp. SS33 tRNA-Leu". It matches the Rfam family "tRNA". Rfam says of the family: Transfer RNA (tRNA) molecules are approximately 80 nucleotides in length. Their secondary structure includes four short double-helical elements and three loops (D, anti-codon, and T loops). Lineage: Bacteria; Pseudomonadati; Pseudomonadota; Alphaproteobacteria; Rhodobacterales; Roseobacteraceae. The record is from RNAcentral.